GAAACAUGUGUGCUUAGAUAAUUGCUGUUCUGAGCCUCAAACUGCUUAUAUAAUGUCAAAGGACAAAGAUGAUAUAUAGGAAUCUCAGCUAGCUGCUUGCUUUCAAGGUCAAGUGAUAAUGAUUGUUAUGGAGUCAUAUAUAUGCUUAGAUACUGAUUUGAGAAUCUAAUUCUAAAUUUGGGUCUCUACCUGGGAAGCUUUGAUAU
Molecule: unclassified non-coding RNA, 206 nt
Filed under: Hevea brasiliensis (rubber tree)
Lineage: Eukaryota; Viridiplantae; Streptophyta; Magnoliopsida; Malpighiales; Euphorbiaceae
Source: RNAcentral